Long non-coding RNA from Haliotis rubra (blacklip abalone), 137 nucleotides. RefSeq lists it as uncharacterized. The record is from RefSeq and is a predicted model, not a curated record. The transcript has 3 exons. Lineage: Eukaryota; Metazoa; Mollusca; Gastropoda; Lepetellida; Haliotidae.
UCCACUUUCAAUAGUGCAUUCCAGGCUACAGAUAAGGGGCGUACAGGCGUAAUGUAUGCCUAAAAAUCAAUGAAGUAUGACAUAAUAUGAGAUUACAAGCGUAUCGUGUACGCACAUAAAUACAUUUGUAUGUCUAA